RNAcentral lists this ribosomal RNA (310 nucleotides) under uncultured bacterium. RNAcentral's name for it is "bacterial SSU rRNA". It matches the Rfam family "Bacterial small subunit ribosomal RNA", at positions 772 to 1079 of the family's 1533-position model. The record is from RNAcentral.
ACCGAAUAGAUACCCAGGUAGUCCACGCCCUAAACGAUGCGAACUGGAUGUUGGGUACAUUACGGUACUCAGUGUCGAAAGCUAAACGCGUUAAGUUCGCCGCCUGGGGAGUACGGUCGCAAGACUGAAACUCAAAGGAAUUGAACGGGGGCCCGCACGAAGCGGUGGAGUAUGUGGUUAAUUCGAUGCAACGCGAAGAACCUUACCUGGCCUUGACAUCUGUCGAAUCCUGCAGAGAUGCGGGGUGCCGCAAGGAACGACAAGACAGGUGCUGCAUGGCUGUCGUCAGCUCGUGUCGUGAGAUGUUGGG